Molecule: long non-coding RNA, 473 nt
Organism: Dermochelys coriacea (leatherback sea turtle)
Lineage: Eukaryota; Metazoa; Chordata; Testudines; Dermochelyidae
Exons: 3
Source: RefSeq, a predicted model, not a curated record
CCUUCCCAAAGGCUAUCUCAGAUAAGGCAGAGGAAAAAACGCACGUGCGAUGACAUGUUCUCUGAGCUCAUGCAGUCGUCCGGCACUGACAGAGCUCAGCAGAAUGUGUGGAGGGACGCAAUAGCACAGUACAGGAUGGUGGCCUAUGAACGUGAGGAGAGGUAGCAGCAGGAAGGUCAGAGGAGGCAUUAGGCAACUGUGGGAUCAAAGGGACAUGCUCCGGCAUCUGGUGGAGGUUCAUGAACGGUAGCAGGAUCACAGACUGAUGCUGCAGCCCCUGCUUAACCGCCCUCCCUCCUCCCCAAGUUCCAUAGCCGCCCCACCCAGACACACAAGAACGCGGGGUGGGAGGUUCCAACCACUCCACCACAGUGGACAGCCCAAGCAACAGAAGGCUGGCAUUCAACAAGUUUUAAAGUGGCCUUUUCCUUCCCUCCUACCGUCCUCCCACACCCCACCCAGGCUACCUUGUG